Non-coding RNA from Otolemur garnettii (small-eared galago), 300 nucleotides. The record is from Rfam. NCBI's taxonomy places the organism in Eukaryota, Metazoa, Chordata, Mammalia, Primates, Galagidae.
GCCGAGUGUGGUGGUGUGUGCCUGUAGCCUCAGAUACUUGGGAGGCGGAGACAGGAGGAUCCCUUGAGUCCAGGAGUUCUGGGGUUUAGUGCACUGUGCUGAUCAGUGUCUGCACUAAGUUUGGUAUCAAUAUGGUGACUUCCUGGGAGUAGGGGGGCCACCAGGUUGCCUAAGAAGGGGUAAAUCGGCCCAGGUUGGAAAUGGAGCAGGUCAAAGCUCUCGUGCUGAUUAGUAAUGGGAUUGUGCCUGUGAAUAGACAUAGCACUUCAGCCUGGGCAACAUAAUGAGACCUUGUCUCUA